GUGAAUCAUCAAAUUUUUGAACGCAAAUUGCACUCCCUGGUAUUCCGGGGAGUAUGCCUGUUUGAGGGUCGUUAGACGAAAGAUCGCAGCAUCGCUCUUUUUUUCGUGGGUGUUUGCGUCGGAAUUGAGCCGUCUUUCAAAUGCUAAUUCAUGCUAAAGUGGCUUAAAAUUCACCUAUCCCGUACGAUUAAAGCGUAUUUAAGAUUAUUUUUGAUUC
This 217-nucleotide unclassified non-coding RNA is filed under the name Glomeraceae sp. RNAcentral's name for it is "partial contains 5.8S ribosomal RNA and internal transcribed spacer 2". The stretch from base 1 to 71 matches the Rfam family "5.8S ribosomal RNA", at positions 84 to 154 of the family's 154-position model. The record is from RNAcentral. Lineage: Eukaryota; Fungi; Glomeromycota; Glomeromycetes; Glomerales; Glomeraceae.